GCCAUCUUCCUCUUCUCCUUCUAAUGAACCCAAUCAACUUCAAAUUCAAGUCUCAAAUGAUGAUACUUUUAACUUAGAAGAUACAAAUAAGCCUUGGGGUGAUGUUAAUAGUGAGAGAGUAAUGAAUUCGUUGAAGCUCCUUCUAAGGAUUCUGAGGACGAUGUAGGUGUUGACGAGGAGGCUCUAACUAAUGACAUGAGCUUAGGCAACCUUUCAAUAAUCAUUGCUCCUACACCUUAUGCACUAGUUCCCCCUCUAGAUGAACACGUGGAGGACAACUCUUGGAGGUCUUGGGCUUGUGAUACAACCUACACCGAUGAAGGGGAGUUUCAAAAGGGUAUAAUGUUUGAUAACAAGGAUGUGUUGUUGAAUGCUGUUAGAUUGUAUCAUAUUCGUAGGAACGUUGAGUACCGAACUGAGACUUCAAAUCAAACCUUGUUCACCUUGAAGUGUAAGAGAGGGUGUGCUUGGAGGCUUAGGGCUAGGUUGAGCUCCUAUUCACCUUCGUGGACUAGGAAGAUCUAAGUCAAGGAGGAUCACCAACGAGAUGGACGAAGGAUUGAGGAGACACAACGCUUGUCGACGGUGUGGUAGUGAAGGUCACAACACUAGAACUUGCACGUCAAGAGAUGGAUCCAGCAGCUCCAGGCCCUCGAGACCCUAGUUUUCUGACGAUGCAGGCGGAUCACAGGAGCAGUGUACUAUAGGAUGUCCAGGUGUCCGACGUAGAGACCAUAUACACCAGGUAUCCCGACUCUGCUCCGUGGGAGAUUGACGCACGGAUCAUCCCCUACCUUCAACGAGCGAGGUUGUACGACUUCCACCUCAUCGCUUAUGGGAGAUUUGAUUGGGCGCUACUCACAGCUUUAGUCGAGCGGUGGCGCCAAGAGACACAUACCUUCCACCUACCUCUUGGUGAGGCUACUGUCACUUUACUUGACGUAGCUAUGCUUACACGGCUUCCCAUCGAAGGACAUGUCGUCUGCACCGUUGGACACCAACUCGAAGGUUGGCAAGAUAAAUUCCAUAGAUUAUUAGGAGUUUCCCGACCUCCCGCAGAUAAACUGGCGCCAUAUAGCUCGUUGAGAUCACAGGCUGGAGCUGCUGGCCCAAGGUGCGCCAAUCGAGGCUGUAGGCACACCUACUUCGGCAGAUUACAUGUUGUGGUUCCUCUCCAUCACACGUCGAUGGAUGACACCACAAGGUAUCAUCGCGGCAGCCUAGUACGCUCCCGUAGCACAGACGAUGACACACUUUGCACAGGGCAUUGCAUCUGUCAUCAGCUCCACCCAAGAGGAGCCUGUAAGCCAUACUCCUAGGGACAUAGUUUCAGCACUUCAUUCCAGAAGUCGCUGUGCCUGACACCACUAUGAACGAGUAGGGGUCAUCUCCUCAUCAUGCCGACGUUCAUCUUGAGGAGGUAGACUUAACGUGCCCCGACUAUGGUGUCGGGUCCUCACAGGGUGCUGGAUCAUCACAGUAUCAAUCACCUCCCCUACUUAAGCUUCAUGCGACGGCCUCUUACUAUCGUAGGAGGCAUUGUAAACCGUCACAGUUAGACAGGGUACAGGAGGAGGAUUAG
This is a long non-coding RNA of Amaranthus tricolor (Joseph's coat), 1582 nucleotides long. RefSeq lists it as uncharacterized. NCBI's taxonomy places the organism in Eukaryota, Viridiplantae, Streptophyta, Magnoliopsida, Caryophyllales, Amaranthaceae. The record is from RefSeq and is a predicted model, not a curated record. The transcript has 4 exons.